This 478-nucleotide ribosomal RNA is filed under the name uncultured bacterium. Its description in RNAcentral is "partial 16S ribosomal RNA". It matches the Rfam family "Bacterial small subunit ribosomal RNA", at positions 28 to 523 of the family's 1533-position model. The record is from RNAcentral.
GACGAACGCUGGCGGCGUGCUUAACACAUGCAAGUCGAACGGUAAGGCCCUUCGGGGUACACGAGUGGCGAACGGGUGAGUAACACGUGGGUGAUCUGCCCUGCACUUCGGGAUAAGCCUGGGAAACUGGGUCUAAUACCGGAUAGGACCACUGCCUGCAUGGGUGGUGGUGGAAAGCUUUUGCGGUGUGGGAUGGGCCCGCGGUCUAUCAGCUUGUUGGUGGGGUGAUGGCCUACCAAGGCGACGACGGGUAGCCGGCCUGAGAGGGUGACCGGCCACACUGGGACUGAGAUACGGCCCAGACGCCUACGGGAGGCAGCAGUGGGGAAUAUUGCACAAUGGGCGCAAGCCGGAUGCAGCGACGCCGCGUGAGGGAUGACGGCCUUCGGGUUGUAAACCUCUUUCAGCACCGACGAAGCGCAAGUGACGGUAGGUGCAGAAGAAGGACCGGCCAACUACGUGCCAGCCGCCGCCGUAA